RNAcentral lists this ribosomal RNA (497 nucleotides) under Hepatozoon canis. RNAcentral describes it as "bacterial SSU rRNA". It matches the Rfam family "Eukaryotic small subunit ribosomal RNA", at positions 279 to 763 of the family's 1831-position model. The record is from RNAcentral. Lineage: Eukaryota; Apicomplexa; Hepatozoidae.
AAGUGAAAACAGGCGAUAAAUCAUUCAAGUUUCUGACCUAUCAGCUUUCGACGGUAUGGUAUUGGCUUACCGUGGCAGUGACGGUUAACGGGGGAUUAGGGUUCGAUUCCGGAGAGGGAGCCUGAGAAACGGCUACCACAUCUAAGGAAGGCAGCAGGCGCGCAAAUUACCCAAUUCUAACAGUUUGAGAGAGGUAGUAACAAGAAAUAACAAUACAAGGCAGUUAAAAUGCUUUGUAAUUGGAAUGAUAGAAAUUUAAACCCUUUUUAAAGUAUCAAUUGGAGGGCAAGUCUGGUGCCAGCAGCCGCGGUAAUUCCAGCUCCAAUAGCGUAUAUUAAAAUUGUUGCAGUUAAAAAGCUCGUAGUUGAAGUUCUGCUGAAAGUAACCGGUCUGCUUUUAAUAAAAGUGGUAUCUUGGUAUGUAUUUAGCAAUGAUGUCCUUUGAAGUGUUUUUUACUUUAUUGUAAUAAAGCAUAUUCAGGACUUUUACUUUGAGAA